RNAcentral lists this ribosomal RNA (628 nucleotides) under uncultured bacterium. RNAcentral's name for it is "bacterial SSU rRNA". It matches the Rfam family "Bacterial small subunit ribosomal RNA", at positions 56 to 676 of the family's 1533-position model. The record is from RNAcentral.
UGCAGUCGAGCGGUAACAGAUCUAGCUUGCUAGAUGCUGACGAGCGGCGGACGGGUGAGUAACGCGUAGGAAACUGCCGAGUAGUGGGGGAUAGCCCAGAGAAAUUUGGAUUAAUACCGCAUACGCCCUACGGGGGAAAGGAGGGGAUCUUCGGACCUUUCGCUAUUCGAUGUGCCUGCGUGAGAUUAGCUUGUUGGUGAGGUAAAGGCUCACCAAGGCGACGAUCUCUAGCUGGUUUGAGAGGAUGAUCAGCCACACUGGGACUGAGACACGGCCCAGACUCCUACGGGAGGCAGCAGUGGGGAAUAUUGCACAAUGGGGGAAACCCUGAUGCAGCCAUGCCGCGUGUGUGAAGAAGGCCUUCGGGUUGUAAAGCACUUUCAGCAGUGAGGAAAGGUUGUAAGUUAAUACCUUGCAGCUAUGACGUUAACUGCAGAAGAAGGACCGGCUAACUCCGUGCCAGCAGCCGCGGUAAUACGGAGGGUCCGAGCGUUAAUCGGAAUUACUGGGCGUAAAGCGCGCGUAGGCGGCUAGGUCAGUCAGAUGUGAAAGCCCCGGGCUUAACCUGGGAAUUGCAUCUGAUACUGCUUGGCUAGAGUACAGAAGAGGGUGGUGGAAUUUCCUGUGU